This 443-nucleotide ribosomal RNA is filed under the name uncultured bacterium. Its description in RNAcentral is "partial 16S ribosomal RNA". It matches the Rfam family "Bacterial small subunit ribosomal RNA", at positions 338 to 795 of the family's 1533-position model. The record is from RNAcentral.
CCUACGGGAGGCAGCAGUGGGGAAUAUUGCACAAUGGUGGAAACCCUGAUGCAGCAACGCCGCGUGAAGGAAGACGGUUUUCGGAUUGUAAACUUCUAUCAAUAGGGAAGAAAGAAAUGACGGUACCUAAAUCAUAAGCCCCGGCUAACUACGUGCCAGCAGCCGCGGUAAUACGUAGGGGGCAAGCGUUAUCCGGAAUUACUGGGUGUAAAGGGAGAGUAGGCGGCAAGGUAAGCGAUAUGUGAAAGCCUUAAGCUUAACUUAAGGAUGGCAUAACGAACUAUCUAGCUAGAGUACAGGAGAGGAAAGCGGAAUUCCUAGGGUAGCGGUGAAAGGCGUAGAUAUUAGGAAGAACACCAGUGGCGAAGGCGGCUUUCUGGACUGAAACUGACGCUGAGGCUCGAAAGCGUGGGGAGCGAACAGGAUUAGAGACCCCGGUAGUC